UGGGACGAUAAGCAAGAAAAUAAUUAAAGUCUGUACUGUUCUUAAAAUGAAAUACUGUCUAGGCGUAGAGAAAUAAAUUAGAUGGCUUUUCAAACCUUUCUACUCUAAGCAUUCAAAAGAAAGAAAAAGAAAAAGUCCAGGCCAGUGGCUUUCAAACAUUUUUUGACAGCAACCCGAGUAAGACGUGUAUUCAACACCUCGAUUCCAAAUGUACAACACACCGUAUUCUUUUUAUGAUUCGAGUUUCAGGAAAGAAUCCCGAUUCUCCUAGGUGGUAUCGUUGCAUUCUCUUUUGUUCCAGCUUCUUCCUUCUUUCCUUUCUUCUUCCUUUCCUAAUGCUCCUUGUCCCACUGAUUUUGCCACCCAGUCUGAAAACUGCAGCUCUGGUGGGUUUUCCUAUUCGGGAAGUCUUUCUGCAGGUUUCUACCCUGAAUCAGAGAGAAUCCAGCAAUCAGGGUGAGAGAGCAGCUUGCAGAUGGGACUUCUGAGGCCGCCGCGGGACCGGGGUCUUCCCCUAGGUGAACCAGGGAGAGAGGGGCAGGUAGCCUGAGAGCCCGGAGCAAAAUCUGCGAGGUCUGCAGCCACACCGUUCGUCUGGUGGAAUCUAUUUCAUGCCAAUUAUCGUUAAAACCUCCAUCUUAAACACUUAGCAUCAUCAGCGUGAACCUCGACCACCAGCCCGGCCUCCGUAGCGCCGCCUGGCCAAGCCCGGCUCCCCGCGCAGGGGCCCGGCCCUGGCCGAGUUCGGCUCGGGUCCCCACGGCCUCGGCCCGCUCCCGCCUCGGGGAACUUUCGCUCCACCUGGUGGAAGACAUUGUCUUGCUAAAUCGCCAAGUUGCCCAGGCUGGACUCGAACUUGAGAACCUCCUGCCUCAGCCUCUCAGAAUGCUGAGAUUACAAGGCAUGCACCAUCACUCCCAGCUGAGCCUUGCUCUCAUACGGAUAAUUUUCUUUAGUCAUCCUGAUCUCUUGGCCUCAAGACUGCGUUAAGGAACCAUAGUAGGAGUGCCAAAAACGAGAAGAUUUAGAGGAAAAAUU
This is a long non-coding RNA of Heterocephalus glaber (naked mole-rat), 1038 nucleotides long. NCBI's taxonomy places the organism in Eukaryota, Metazoa, Chordata, Mammalia, Rodentia, Bathyergidae. The record is from Ensembl.